Cornus florida is the source of this 1855-nucleotide long non-coding RNA. RefSeq lists it as uncharacterized. The record is from RefSeq and is a predicted model, not a curated record. The transcript has 3 exons. Lineage: Eukaryota; Viridiplantae; Streptophyta; Magnoliopsida; Cornales; Cornaceae.
GGCAAAUCAUUUCAGCCUCACAAAUCGCCUCCAUCUCUAUUCACUCGUUCUCAACUCUGAAAUUGCCCAUCUAUCUCUCUCUGCAACUGCAAACUACAAAAUCAACAACAAUCAGAAGUUCAAAACCCAAAUCUUUCAGUUUCCAUCGCCCGCAAGGAUUUCCUUAUAUGGUUUAGGCUGACUGGUGAAUGCUGGAAAAGAGACACAUUCCAUAUGGCUUCAGAUUUUCUCUAAAGUUAGAGAUAGAAGUCAACCCUUGGAUUCUUGCUUUCACUACUGACGGUAAAAUAAGGCUCUUCUUUGCGCAUUGAGUUUCGGGUUGUACAAGGGUUCAUGUUACCUGCAAUCGAACACGGCUGCUAUGGCCGGUUCUCUCUCUCUCUGCAAUUGCUAACUUAUGUUGUGCAAAUUUGAGGCUAAAUGGCUGGUACGAAGCAAAGUGAGAGACACAGCUCUUUUCUUUGUUGUGACAAAGUUGAUUUGAUGCAGAUUGGGUUCCUCCCUUGUAAGAGGACAAUUAAUGGCAUGAGUAGUUUCGGAAAAGGAAAACAGGCAACACUUCGUAGCAAUGGAAUUGCAGUUGAGCUCCCUUUGAAGGAAUGAAAUUGCAACUGACGGAGUUCAACUGGAAUUUUAAAUACUGAGAUACAACGUCUCAUGCCUGAAGGUUUUUUUUUCCGUGGUUGGCACGCAAAGGCAGAACCGGCAUAGUACCCACCUCAUUGAUUGAAAGGAACAAUUGAGGAUAAGCUGGGAAAGUCAAACUUUACAUAAAAAAAGUAGUAGUUAACUGAAUUCCUUUCUACAAUAUCAGACUUCAGACUUCUUUGUUAAUUGUUAUAUUUUUAUAUUUCAUUUUCAUUAAGAUGAAUCUAAAACUUAUAUGUCCUAGUUUCAAAUGGCUAUGAUCUACUAAACAAGCAAUCUCAAUGAUUGGGUGUACUUGUUUAUUUGAACGAGGAGAACUUUAGAACACUGACAAAUGUCUUUUUGUAGCCUAUACGUAUUUGUAUUUAUAUAUAUAUAUAUAUAUAUAUAUAUAUAUAUAUAUGUAUAAUUUUUUUUUUGGAAGCAACGUUUACAAUCCAAUCCGGUAUUUUAAGUGUUGAGUUAGAGUUUAGUUGAACCAUUAAUACUAGUGGAAGAGAAACAAGGGGGCUUGUAACUCUAAUUUUACCCCAAUCUUGAGGUGUAGAUUGUAUUCUUUUCGGUGUGGAGUUUUUUUUGUUUAUGUGACUUGUUAUCUGCUUCUGUUCUUUAACAGAACAAAAUGGCAGCAGCAGUUUUUUGGUUUUUUUUUUUAUUUAAACCCGGCAAGAAAAAGAAAACCGCCGUACGGCAUCUACAUGGACAAGAACAGUAACCCAUACAUACAACAAAGAAAUACAGACAAAACCAAAACACACAAAACUAUCCAAAGCAAAACUAAUCUUCCAGUAAUGUCAAAAUUACAGCCUUGACAACAACCUAUAUUUAGAGGGAGUUGGCAUAGCCAAGGAUCGGUCCCACCAGCAAGGAAAAUAGAACAUCGAAAAUAUUGGCCCAAAACGUCAACCAUGUCAUAGGAAACUCAAACUUUACAUAAAAAAAAUAGUAAACUGAAUUCCUUUCUACAAUAUCAGACUUCUUCGUUAAUUGUUAUAUUUUUAUAUUUCAUUUUCAUUAAGGUGAAUCUAAAACUUAUAUGUCCUAGUUUCAAAUGGCUAUGAUCUACUAAACGAGCAAUCUCAAUGAUUGGGUGUACUUGUUUAUUUGAACGAGGAGAACUUUAGAACACUGACAAAUGUCUUUUUGUAGCCUAUACGUAUUUAUAUAUAUAUAUAUAGAUAUAUAUAAAUAUAUAAUUUUUUUUUUU